GGUGGCUCAGUGGUAGAGCGCCUGCCUUACAUCCAUGAGGCCCUGGGUUCGAUUCCUCAGCACCA
Molecule: transfer RNA, 65 nt
Filed under: Dipodomys ordii (Ord's kangaroo rat)
Lineage: Eukaryota; Metazoa; Chordata; Mammalia; Rodentia; Heteromyidae
Rfam family: tRNA
About the family: Transfer RNA (tRNA) molecules are approximately 80 nucleotides in length. Their secondary structure includes four short double-helical elements and three loops (D, anti-codon, and T loops).
Source: Rfam by way of RNAcentral